GAUGAACGCUGGCGGCGUGCCUAAUACAUGCAAGUCGAGCGAACGGACGAGAAGCUUGCUUCUCUGAUGUUAGCGGCGGACGGGUGAGUAACACGUGGAUAACCUACCUAUAAGACUGGGAUAACUUCGGGAAACCGGAGCUAAUACCGGAUGAUAUUUUGAACCGCAUGGUUCAAAAGUGAAAGACGGUCUUGCUGUCACUUAUAGAUGGAUCCGCGCUGCAUUAGCUAGUUGGUAAGGUAACGGCUUACCAAGGCAACGAUGCAUAGCCGACCUGAGAGGGUGAUCGGCCACACUGGAACUGAGACACGGUCCAGACUCCUACGGGAGGCAGCAGUAGGGAAUCUUCCGCAAUGGGCGAAAGUCUGACGGAGCAACGCCGCGUGAGUGAUGAAGGUCUUCGGAUCGUAAAACUCUGUUAUUAGGGAAGAACAUAUGUGUAUGUAACUGUGCACAUCUUGACGGUACCUAAUCAGAAAGCCACGGCUAACUACGUG
This 497-nucleotide ribosomal RNA is filed under the name uncultured bacterium. RNAcentral's name for it is "partial 16S ribosomal RNA". It matches the Rfam family "Bacterial small subunit ribosomal RNA", at positions 28 to 507 of the family's 1533-position model. The record is from RNAcentral.